UACGGGGGGGGCAAGCGUUGUUCGGAAUUACUGGGCGUAAAGGGUGCGUAGGUGGCCUGUUAAGUCGAACGUGAAAUCCCUGGGCUCAACCCAGGAACUGCGUCCGAUACUGGCAGGCUUGAAUCCGGGAGAGGGAUGCGGAAUUCCAGGUGUAGCGGUGAAAUGCGUAGAUAUCUGGAGGAACACCGGUGGCGAAGGCGGCAUCCUGGACCGGCAUUGACGCUGAGGCGCGAAAGCCAGGGGAGCAAACGGG
Molecule: ribosomal RNA, 253 nt
Filed under: uncultured bacterium
Lineage: Bacteria
Description: partial 16S ribosomal RNA
Rfam family: Bacterial small subunit ribosomal RNA
Source: RNAcentral